RNAcentral lists this ribosomal RNA (228 nucleotides) under uncultured bacterium. Its description in RNAcentral is "partial 16S ribosomal RNA". It matches the Rfam family "Bacterial small subunit ribosomal RNA", at positions 568 to 795 of the family's 1533-position model. The record is from RNAcentral.
UCCGUAGGCGGGCGAUUAAGUCAGUGGUGAAAGUCUGCAGCUCAACUGUAGAAUUGCCUUUGAUACUGGUCGUCUUGAGUUAUAGUGAAGUUGCCGGAAUAUGUAGUGUAGCGGUGAAAUGCAUAGAUAUUACAUAGAACACCGAUUGCGAAGGCAGGUGACUAACUAUAUACUGACGCUGAUGGACGAAAGCGUGGGGAGCGAACAGGAUUAGAUACCCUGGUAGUC